GACGAACGCUGGCGGCGUGCUUAACACAUGCAAGUCGAACGGAAAGGCCUGCUUUCCCUUGUGGAUUGUGGGUACUCGAGUGGCGAACGGGUGAGUAACACGUGAGUGAUCUGCCCCCAACUUGGGUAUAAGCCUGGGAAACUGGGUCUAAUUCCCGAUAGGACUGCAGGGUGGUGCCUGUGGUGGAAAACGAUUUUCUAGUGGUUGGGGAUGAGCUCGCGGCCUAUCAGCUUGUUGGUGGGGUAAUGGCCUACCAAGGCGGCAACGGGUAGCCGGCCUGAGAGGGUGGACGGCCACAUUGGGACUGAGAUACGGCCCAGACUCCUACGGGAGGCAGCAGUGGGGAAUAUUGCACAAUGGGCGGAAGCCUGAUGCAGCGACGCCGCGUGGGGGAUGACGGCCUUCGGGUUGUAAACUCCUUUCGACCGCGAGGAAGCCACCUGGUUGGAAGGGUGGUGACGGUAGUGGUAGAAGAAGCACCGGCUAACUACGUG
RNAcentral lists this ribosomal RNA (494 nucleotides) under uncultured bacterium. RNAcentral's name for it is "partial 16S ribosomal RNA". It matches the Rfam family "Bacterial small subunit ribosomal RNA", at positions 28 to 507 of the family's 1533-position model. The record is from RNAcentral.